AUAAGUUUUUAACAGGGAAUUAAACGUUUUAAAACUAAAGAAUGUGAGUUGGUAGAGUACAUUCAAUCAUGGACCAGAUCAAUCAUCUUCAAUUGUUAGUCUUGCUUGAUUAAGCUUUUUAAGAUGUGGUUGUUUAGGUGGUGUGUGGCGGUCUUCUAUGUAGGGCUUCAUGUCACUAUGCACUAACAUAAUGUUGACAUGUUACUUAUACAUUUCACCUCCUAUUCACAAUGAUUACAACUUGCUUUCUCCUAUCCUAGAUGAGACUUAAGCAUGGCAGAGACAAGACUGAUUAAGAUCCAUUUUGGGUGAAGUGGAAAUGAUUUUACUUUGAAAUAUCAGUGGUAAAUAAAAGCAAGCAGUGAUUAUUCCACACAAACCUUGUAUCAAAUGGUUUUUUAUGCUUUAAACUGCAUUACUAGCUACAGCACAAAAGGCACCCAUGGGUCCCUUAGUCCUGUCUGUGAGAGACACACAGGAUAUUCAAUGAAUCCAGGGUUUUAUAAUAUUAAAGUGAGUAGACAUGGGUCAAAGAUAUUUUGACUGAAAUGUGAAUGUGCUUUAGAUCAAGAUUUUGGUUUCAGGUAGGCAGAUAAAGUGCCCAGGCAUUUCAAGUCCACAAAGAGUAUCAGUUAUCUGACAGCAGUUUUUAUGUACUUAUUUCCAUUGCUAGUUUCCUCUUUCUUCAACAAAAUCAAUCAAAAGAAGUGGCUCUAUGCAGUUUUUCUAGUUUUAUUACUGUCUCUUGAAACUGCAAACAUCAAAGAUUUUGCACAGCUUCACUGCUAAUAUGAAACACUUCCCAGAUUUUUUUUUUGUCACAGGAAUUCUACUAGGAAUGAGUUGCAUGGAUAUCCUUUAACAGUUAAAUUUUAAUCCCAGCCUUGCAGGUGGUGGACCUGGGGUGAUGGAGGUGCAGCAGCAUCACUUCUUUAGGGAUCUGCAUGGAGUAUCUGCCUCUUGUGGUGUUGAAGAUUGCUCCAACGAUGCAGUUACAGCUGUUUGAUCCCACCAGAGACAUAAAGACCCCACAGGAAGAAGACCUGAUGGUUCAUCAGACAUGGGCAGUAUUUUAUAGGGUUCAAGAGUAAAUCACCUUUUCAAGAGAAUGAGUCCCUCCUUUAAAGGAUAUGAAGGAGCUUUGUGUACGAAACCAUAUCAGACAAUAAUUGCCCCAGUGUUAAUAAAAAAUCCAUUCACUUUCAGAAAUGUGUUGGGAGUUUCUUCUCCAUUCCUCUCAAAAAAGGAGAGUUCAUCUCUGUUAUAUUUUUCUAGAUGCUGUAAUCCCAGCAGCAGUGCUUUGUUGUUUACACAAGCUCGUGUGCAGCUGUGUAUUGAUGGUGUUCUGCUGAUCUGUAUGCUGUAAGAUGUGUUUAUGACAACAGUGCUUUUUCUUAAACAAAUAUGUCAUUAUUUCUGAAAUAUUCAGCUGUUCUCUGCCUAUAUUUGGAGUUCAUCUGUUUGUGAAGUUAUUUGUGAACUGAAUUAAUUAUAUUUUAUGUUUGGAAGUGUUAAUUUAAAUCUUCUUUUAAUAGAACUAUUAUUUUUAGGGUGAAAUCUUUAAUAUAUUCCCUUUAUUGUCCUUUAAUGUUUUUCCCGAAGUUGUUAUCAGCCAAAGGAACAUAUUGGUACAGCUACAAGGCAGCCUAUGCACAAUUCAAAAAUAGCUAAGUUCAAGUGAGCAAACCAGUGUGAGUUCAUGAAAUAGUGAUGUUAUUUUACUUACUGUAUUAAUGGUUGUUCUCUUGACUAUCAUUCUAUCUGUUGGACUGAAAACAGACACAAAUUGGUGCACCUGGUUUCAAACCUGUCCCUACACUGCUUAUGAGUAGCACUCUGCCUAUCCAGCCACAACAUACUCACACUGAUGUCACCAGUGAAAGCAGAACCUCUCCCAGUGAAAGGUCUCUCUAAGGGCCCUGUUUAUUCCUGCACUCUCCCAUCAAAUGAGGCCAUUUGCUCCCUGAGAGAUGACUCCUUCUGAAGGACCAUCCCUAUCCACCAUCUCCAUGUGGUUGUAAUUGACAGAAGGGCAAUAAAAAUCAUAGUGUUAUUUUAUUGGAUAACAGUGAGCCAAAUCUGGACAUUUUAGUUAUUAUUUGAACACAAUGCAUGUGUACAAAAUCCUUUCACAUAUCUUCGUGGGUUAUGCUGCAUUUUAAAAUGUGUGUAGUGUUGCCAUGGACAUUUGUCCUGCAGUGAAAUGCUAACUGAUUAAAAAGAGAAAUUUGAGGAGAUUUUUUUUUUUUAAUUACAAGGUUUAAUAAACUUUUAAAAAGUAUUUUAUCAAUCCUUCAGAAAUUUGCUGCAUGCAAAAACAGUGAAUAAAUCUAUAGCACGUUCUGUUUCCA
This is a non-coding RNA of Taeniopygia guttata (zebra finch), 2351 nucleotides long. The record is from RefSeq and is a predicted model, not a curated record. Lineage: Eukaryota; Metazoa; Chordata; Aves; Passeriformes; Estrildidae.